RNAcentral lists this ribosomal RNA (3122 nucleotides) under anaerobic digester metagenome. Its description in RNAcentral is "bacterial LSU rRNA". It matches the Rfam family "Bacterial large subunit ribosomal RNA". The record is from RNAcentral.
GUGAAUUUAUAGCUGUAUUGGAGGUAAUGCAGGGAAGUGAAACCUCUCAGUACCUGCGAGAAAAGAGAACAACAGUUUAUUUCCUGAGUAGUGGCGAGCGAAAAGGAAUUAGUUCAAACUCAUAUUGUGUAAGAGGGAUUAAAGUUUUGAUUCGCGUAGCGAUGAUGAAUAAUAUGAACUCGUAGGUUAUCGCUCGUGCAAUAUGAGGGUUGUAAGAGUCAGUUGAUUAGUCGAUAAACUAAUCGAGAAGUUACAAAGUUUAACCUUAGUAGAAUAUAUCUGGAAAGGUAAACCAAAGAGGGUGAUAGUCCCGUAUAUGAAAAGGUUAAGCCUUCUUUCUGAUUUCUUGAGUACCACGGAUCACGAGAAAUUCUGUGGGAAGCUACCAAGACCACUUGGUAAAACUAAAUAUCUUUUGUGACCAAUAGUGAAGUAGUUCCGUGAGGGAAAGGUGAAAAAUACCCCUGUUAGGGGAGUGAAAUAGAUCUGAAACCGUAUGCUUACAAACAGUCGUAGCCCAGUUAACUUAUAGUUUGAAAUUCUUCUUAAGCCUAAAUUAAUACGGUAAAGAAGAUAGUUGUCGAAUUAUAAGGUAGCUGGGUGACGGCGUGCCUAUUGAAGAAUGACCCGGUGAGUUAGUUGUGUGUGGCAAGGUUAACCAUGUUUAUUGGGAAGCCGAAGCGAAAGCGAGUUUGAAUAGAGCGUCCAGCUAACCUAUAGAGGAGGUUCUGCCUCUUUUACAGGUUAGCUGAUUAAGUCACAUGCACUAGACCCGAAACCAGGUGAUCUAACCAUGAGCAGGGUGAAGGAAUGAGAAAUCAUUUUGGAGGCCCGAACCCGUUAAUGUUGCAAAAUUAUGGGAUGACUUGUGGUUAGCGGUAACAUGCCAAACGAACCUGGUAAUAGCUGGUUCUCCCCGAAAUAGCUUUAGGGCUAGCGUUGCAAUUUAAGUAUUGGGGGUAGAGCACUGAUUGGGUAUGGGGCUCGAAAGAGUACCCUAUCCAGUUAAACUCCAAAUACCAAUAUGAAUAUUACAGCAGUUAGAACUAGGGAGCUAAGUUCCUAUGUUCAAGAGGGAAACAGCCCAGAUUGUCAGAUAAGGACCCUAAAUUACAUCUUAGUGGGAAAGGAAGUGUAGUUUCUUAGACAGCUAGGAGGUUGGCUUAGAGGCAGCCAUCCUUUAAAAAGUGCGUAAUAGCUUACUAGUCAAGAGACUAUGCAUCGAAGAUUUAACGGGGCUGAAGAUGUAUUCCGAAGCUGCAAAUUCAUCCAGUUAACUUAAAGUAUGAGAUGAAUCCUUUUAGAAGGAGUUUCUUACUCUGGGUUAGCUGGAUGAGUGGUAGGGGAGCGUUCUAUACAUGACCAACUUAGCAGUUGAGAUAUCGCUGUGAAGGUGGCCUGUAAAGAGCUGCUGGAGCGUAUAGAAGUGAGAAUGCCGGGAUGAGUAACGUAAAGCAGGUGAAAACCCUGCUCGCUGAAUGUCUAAGGUUUCCAUGGCUAUGUCAGUCAACCAUGGGUUAGUCGGUCCUAAGGAGAGGUCGAAAGGCGUAUCUGAUGGACAACAGGUUAAUAUUCCUGUACUACUAAUAUUUUGCGAUGGAGAUUGAGAAUUGAGAAAGCAAGCCCCUUAUUGGUUUGGGGUGUAAGUAACAAGUUAGUCUUUCUAGGAAAAUCCGGAAAGACGUUCCCAGUUUACUGGGUGAAUAUGAGUUACGAUGCAAAGGUGACCUUCGGGAAUCCGAUUUGUUGUAUUAAUUCUCCAGGAAAAACUUCUAGCUGUUUACUUCGGUAAACAGAAGAUAUUGGUAACCGUACUGCAAACCGACACAGGUAGACAGGUGUAAAUGCACCAAAGCGUACGAGUGAUGCGUUGUUAAGGAACUCGGCAAAUUAACCCCGUAAGUUCGCGAGAAGGGGGACCUUCCACUAUAAGAAUUUUCUAGUGGUGAUGAAGGUGGCACAGAAUAGGGAGGGACGACUAGUUAUCAAAACUACAGGCGCUUGCAAAUUCGUAAGAAGAUGUAUAAGUGCUGACGCCUGCCCAAUGCCAGAAGGUUAAGGAAGUUUGUUAACCAUCUGUCAGAUGCAUCUCGGUGCUCUGACGGAGGUGAAGCGGACGACUGAAGCCCUGGUCAAUGGCGGCUGUAACUAUAACGGUCCUAAGGUAGCGUAAUACCUUGUCACUUAAUUGGUGACUUGCAUGAAAGGCGUAACGAUCCUUCCACUGUCUCUACAACGCGCUCGGUGAAAUUGAAAUGGCUGUGAAGAUGCGGCCUACCCAUACCAGGACAAAAAGACCCCGUGGAGCUUUACUGCAGCUUUGCAUUGAAAUAAUGCUUCGGAUGUAGAGAAUAGGUGGGAGACUUUGAAGCCGUUUCGUCAGGAAUGGUGGAGUCGCAAUAUGUAAUACCACCCUUUUGGUGUUUUAUUUCUAACCUCUACCUUUACCAGGUAGAUGGACAGUGCAUGGUGGGCAGUUUGACUGGGGCGGUUGCUUGCUAAAGAGUACCGCAAGCGCACAAAGGUCUCCUCAGCCCGGAUGGAAAUCGGGUGAAGAGUGCAUGAGCAUAAGGAGGCUUUACUGUGAGGGAGACAUCCCGAGCAGUUACGAAAGUAGGUUCAAGUGACCCUUUCGCAGAAUGUGGAAUCGCGAUUGUUUAACGAAGAUAAGUUACCCCGGGGACAACAGGCUGGUGGUGCCCGAUAGUUCACAUUGACGGCACCGUUCGGCACCUCGAUGUCGGCUCGUCACAUCCUGGGGCUGGAGAAGGCCCCAAGGGUUCGUCUGUUCGACGAUUAAAGUGGCACGCGAGCUGGGUUCAGACCGUCGUAAGACAGGUCGGUCUCUAUCCGGUAUGGGCGUUGUAUAUCUGAGGGAAGAGACCCUUAGUACGAAAGGAUCAGGGUGUGGUAACCUCUGGUGCACCAGUUGUUCUACCAAGAGCAUUGCUGGGUAGCUAAGUUGCUCUGGGAUAAGUACUGAAAGCAUAUAAGUGCGAAGCCCUUCCCAAGAUUAGAUAUACUUGUCCCGCUAACUUGUAGUGUAAGGAUGUAAUUUCCUUGCUCUAUGUGUUAGCGGGAUGGAGGUCUGUGGGAGAUAACCACGUUGAUAGGCUCUAGGU